Molecule: ribosomal RNA, 412 nt
Filed under: uncultured bacterium
Lineage: Bacteria
Description: bacterial SSU rRNA
Rfam family: Bacterial small subunit ribosomal RNA
Source: RNAcentral
GGGUAUUACCCGAACAAGACGGUACCUUCAGAGAAAGCCCCGGCUAUAUACGUGCCAGCAGCCGCGGUAAUACGUAGGGGGCAAGCGUUGUCCGGAUUUACUGGGUGUAAAGGGCGUGUAGGCGGAUGAUUAAGUCAGGGGUGAAAUCUUACAGCUCAACUGUGAAAUUGCCCUUGAUACUGGUCGUCUUGAGUACGAGAGAGGAAGAUGGAAUUCCUGGUGUAGCGGUGAAAUGUGUAGAUAUCUGGAAGAACACCGGUGGAGAAGGGGGUGUUUUGGCUCGUAAAAGACGCUGAGGCGCGAAAGCAUGGGGAUCAAACAGGAUUAGAUACCCCGGUAGUCCAUGCUGUAAACGAUGAGUGCUAGUUGUGGGUUCCGUACGGAAUCAGUGACGCAGCUAACGCAAUAAGCA